This 410-nucleotide ribosomal RNA is filed under the name uncultured Planctomycetaceae bacterium. Its description in RNAcentral is "bacterial SSU rRNA". It matches the Rfam family "Bacterial small subunit ribosomal RNA", at positions 506 to 916 of the family's 1533-position model. The record is from RNAcentral. Lineage: Bacteria; Pseudomonadati; Planctomycetota; Planctomycetia; Planctomycetales; Planctomycetaceae.
UGUCAGCAGCCGCGGUAAGACGAACCGUGCGACCGUUAUUCGGAAUCACUGGGCUUAAAGGGUGCGUAGGCGGGUGGACAAGUCGAGGGUGAAAGCCUCUAGCUUAACUAGAGAAGUGCCCUCGAUACUGUUUGUCUUGAGAGAGAUAGGGGCACACGGAACUUCCGGUGGAGCGGUGAAAUGCGUAGAUAUCGGAAGGAACGCCGGUGGCGAAAGCGGUGUGCUGGAUCUUUUCUGACGCUGAGGCACGAAAGCUAGGGUAGCGAACGGGAUUAGAUACCCCGGUAGUCCUAGCCCUAAACGAUGAGUACUAGAUUGUGGACUGACAUGGGUUCACAGUCGAAGCAAAAGUAUUAAGUACUCCGCCUGGGGAGUAUGGUCGCAAGGCUGAAACUCAAAUAAAUUGGCGG